AUUUCACCACAGCUAGCCAAAAAAAUACAUAUAACUUUGUUAAAAAUUCAGUAGCUUCCCUAGUUGCAAGAAAGUGUGUGGCCAGUAUGCAUAUAGGAAAAAGUGUUAACCUUUAGCUAAAAGAUGUGUUAGCUAUAAAGACGUUUAUAGUGCACGGGUCAUCUCACACGUACACACUUACAUCCAUAUAUGCAGCUAUAUGGCAACCUAAUUCGAUUUCAACGCACACAGAAUUAAGGCAACUGCGGAGGCCUUUUGUUCUACGGCAUGGAUUGGUUUUGGCCAUCAUGAAAAGCUAUUGAAAAAUCAUGCAUGGAGCAUGGAGUGGGGAGUGGGGAAGCCGACAAGAAAAGAAACGGAAUACAAAAGACAAACACAGCAGAAAUGGAGACUCAUCCACAGUGAUACGUGCCUGGCAUUCGCCAAGCUGGAUUAAUUUCAUUUCACAAAACAAAACCUAUAUACAUAUGUACAUAUGUAUGUACAUAUACUGGGGACAAGGAAAGAAAAUACCCCACAGAUACAGAAGCCUCUUGGAUAGCCCUCAACUCCCCGAUAAUGGGAGCAUUAAUUUGAAUUGCAUAAUUUGUGUUGUGCAGAAAGCAGAGACGAAGAAAUUAAGUCAAUGGCCCAAACAAAAUAUAAAUAUCGAUUAGGAGACGAGCUGCAAAUGACGGGGAAAAUAACUCUCUGCCAACCCAUUUAAUUGGGGAAAUUUAACACGUACGCCGCAUUUGUAUUCAUUCUCGGUCUGCAGCCGCUGGGAAAUUGGAUUAAAGACGUUAAAGACUCUUGGCCCUGUUGUCAUCGCUGUCUUCGUUGUCUUUGUUGGCUUCGCGGCAACUGUAAAUUACAUUUCAUAUUAGCGGAGUAGCGGGGGAAUAUGUUCCGAAGCUGGGGAGAUUUCCCCUACAACGUGCGAAAAAAGAAUAGAGGCCCUCCCUACGAAAACAAAACGAAGUUUGUUAGUAUGCCAUAAUCGUAUGGCGACGAGGCCUUAUUUAUAGCAUUAACGCAUAUUAGGCCUAAUGGGCAUAGAAUACGAGGGCAGAAUGGGAAGUGCUCCACACAGGGGGCGUAAGUCCUUAUAAACGGAAUGAAAAGCCAAGAGUAUGAUCAAGAGUUAUGCAUUUGGUGAAGGAUUUCAAAUGAGUGCAGGAAAAACAAAACACACAUAUUAGAGUACAUAAAGAAACUACUUUAAAAGAAAAUCAUAGAAACUAAUUUCCGCCCAAAUAUUUAUCGAUUAGCAUCGGUACUAACUCGGGUUAAAAAGAAAUUCAAUCAGAGAGCGGAAAUGCAAACAUUAUGAAAGCAGAAAAGUGGCUCAGAACAGAUGAAAGAAAUCGUAUAUCUAAGCUAGUUCCGUUGCGAGAAGAACCCUAUAGAUGCACUGAGCCGUAAUUCAUCCCGCAAAAUAACAAAACCUUAUCCAGCCCAAACAUAAUCCAGUCCCACUCUCCGGGGGAUUCCCUCAGCCAUGGGCAUAUCCCAAUGCCUACAUGUCAACUCCAUCACGUUCUAGUUGAUUAAAUAAACUGAUUGAUGGCAUGCCUGAUUGAUGCCUUCAUCGGAUCGCCAUACCCCACA
Drosophila santomea is the source of this 1590-nucleotide long non-coding RNA. RefSeq lists it as uncharacterized. The transcript is spliced from 2 exons. The record is from RefSeq and is a predicted model, not a curated record. Lineage: Eukaryota; Metazoa; Arthropoda; Insecta; Diptera; Drosophilidae.